RNAcentral lists this ribosomal RNA (3178 nucleotides) under Emiliania huxleyi CCMP1516. RNAcentral describes it as "eukaryotic LSU rRNA". It matches the Rfam family "Eukaryotic large subunit ribosomal RNA". Lineage: Eukaryota; Haptophyta; Isochrysidales; Noelaerhabdaceae. The record is from RNAcentral.
AACCCGCCAUCGAAUGAGGCAAGACUACCCGCUGAACUUAAGCAUAUCACUAAGCGGAGGAGAAGAAACUAACCAGGAUGCCCCUAGUAAUGGCGAAUGAAGCGGGCUGAGCUCACGCUGCCAAUCUGGAGGCCUCGCGUAUGCAGCGCCCCCCGAAUUGUGGUCUAGAGAGGCGUUAUCGGCCGCGCCCGCCGCUCAAGUCCCUUGGAACAGGGUGUCGGAGAGGGUGAGAAUCCCGUACCGUGGCGGGUUGCGCCCUUACGAUGCGUCCUCGUCGAGUCGGGUUGCUUGGGAUUGCAGCUUGAAUUGGGUGGUAAAUUCCAUCUAAAGCUAAAUACUGGCGAGAGACCGAUAGCGAACAAGUACCGUGAGGGAAAGAUGCAAAGAACUUUGAAAAGAGAGUCAAAGAGUGCUUGAAAUCGGUAGGAGGAAACCCGGAUGGGCCCGGCUUCGGCGCGCCGACUCAGCCUGGGGUUCUCCCCAGGUGCACUUCUGCGCGCCGGGUCAGCCGCGCCUCGGCGCCGCGCCUCAACCCGGGAGCGGGGCUUUACGGCCAGCUCCCGUCCUGGCGCGGCCCGGGGCCCGGCUGACGGAACGGGCCCCUCCGACCCGUCUAGAAACACGGACCAAGGAGUCUGACACGUGUGCGAGUACCCGGGUGGCAAGCCCGCGUGCGGAAUGAAAGUGAAGGGCAUGCCCUGCCAACCGACCUUGACCUGCUGUGAGGGGUUUGAGUGGAGCACACCUGUCGGGACCCGAAAGAUGGUGAACUAUGCCUGGGUAGGGUGAAGCCAGAGGAAACUCUGGUGGAGGCUCGUAGCGAUACUGACGUGCAAAUCGUUCGUCGAAUCUGGGCAUAGGGGCGAAAGACUAAUCGAACCAUCUAGUAGCUGGUUCCCUCCGAAGUUUCCCUCAGGAUAGCUUGAACGCAACGGUUUUGUCAGGUAAAGCGAAUGAUUAGAGGCCUGUGGGCUGAAACAGCUUGCACCUAUUCUCAAACUUUAAAUGGGCAAGAGGCCCGGGAUGCUUGAGUGAUCCCGGGCGGCGAACGGCGCGUUCAAAGUGGGCCAUUUUUGGUAAGCAGAACUGGCGAUGCGGGAUGAACCGAACGCCGCGCUAAGGUACCCAAGUGUCCGCUCAUCAGAUACCACAAAAGGCGUUGGUACCUCCAGACAGCAGGACGGUGGCCAUGGAAGUCGGAACCCGCUAAGGAGUGUGUAACAACUCACCUGCCGAAGGUACUAGCCCUGAAAAUGGAUGGCGCUCAAGCGGACCACCGAUGCGCGGCCGCCGGCGCGAGCGCGAGGCGCCGGCGAGUAGGAGGGCGCGGGGCUCGCGGCGCAGCCUUGGGCGCGAGCCUGGGUGAAGCGGGCCCCGGUGCAGAUCUUGGUGGUAGUAGCAAAUAUUCAAAUGAGAACUUUGAAGACUGAAGUGGAGAAAGGUUCCGUGUGAACAGCAGUUGGACACGGGUGAGCCGACCCUAAGAGACAGGAAAACUCCGCCGAACGCGGCUGGUUCUGUCAGCCCGUCCGUCGAAAGGGAAUCGGGUUAAUAUUCCCGAGCCAGCGCGUGGAUGGUGGGCGGCGACGCGAACGAACCCGGAGACGCCGGCGGGAGCCCUGGGAAGAGUUCUCUUUUCUUCUUAACUGCCUCCUGCCCUGGAAUCGGUUUAGCCGGAGCGAGGGCUACACGGCAGGCAAAGCACCCUAAGUCUUGGGGUGUCCGGCGCGCUCCCGACGGCCCGUGAAAAUCCGGGGGAGCGGUUCGUUCUCACGCCUGGUCGUACUCAUAACCGCAUCAGGUCUCCAAGGUGAACAGCCUCUAGUCGAUAGAGCAAUGUAGGUAAGGGAAGUCGGCAAAAUGGUUCCGCAACCUCGGGAGAAGGAAUGGCUCUGAAGGCUGGGCGCAGGGGUCCUAGGCUCGAGGCCGGCUGGCUGCGCGGGGACUACGGCCUCACGGCUGCGGAUCCCGCGCGGCCGUCCGGCGGACGGCCUAGGAGCGCUCCGGCUCUCCCUGCGCGACGAACAGCCGCUUCAGAACUGGCGCGGACAAGGGGAAUCCGACUGUUUAAUUAAAACAAAGCAUUGCGAUGGCCCGCGAGGGUGCUGACGCAAUGUGAUUUCUGCCCAGUGCUCUGAAUGUCAAAGUGAAGAAAUUCAACCAAGCGCGGGUAAACGGCGGGAGUAACUAUGACUCUCUUAAGGUAGCCAAAUGCCUCGUCAUCCAAUUAGUGACGCGCAUGAAUGGAUUCGUGAGAUUCCCACUGUCCCUAUCUACUGUCUAGCGAAACCACAGCCAAGGGAACGGGCUUGGAAGAAUCAGCGGGGAAAGAAGACCCUGUUGAGCUUGACUCUAGUCUGUUACUGUGGAACGACUUGAUGGGUGUAGAAUAUGCGGGAGGGGCAACCCGACAGUGAAAUACCGCAACCGUCAACGUUGUUUUACUUACUCGGUGGCGCGGAGGGAGGCUCGCCUCACUUCUGGAUCCAAGCCGCUUCGUGCGCGCGAUCCGCGUCGGGGACACUAACAGGUGGGGAGUUUGGCUGGGGCGGCACGUCUGUUAAAAAAUAACGCAGGCGCCCGAUUUUGAGCUCAAUGAGAACAGAAAUCUCAUGUGGACCGAAAGGGGAAAAGCUCGGUUGAUUUUGAUUUUCAGUACGAAUACAAACCGCGAAAGCGUGGCCUAUCGAUCCUCUCGUCUUUGGGAAUUUCAAGCUAGAGGUGUCAGAAAAGUUACCACAGGGAUAACUGGCUUGUGGCUGCCAAGCGUUCAUAGCGACGUAGCUUUUUGAUCCUUCGAUGUCGGCUCUUCCUAUCACUGCCUCGCAGCGGGGGCCAAAUGCAGGAUUGUUCACCCACCAACAGGGAACGUGAGCUGGGUUUAGACCGUCGUGAGACAGGUUAGUUUUACCCUACUGCUGUCUGUUUUUCUACGGUAAUUUGGUUCAGUACGAGAGGAACCACCAAUUCGCAUCAUCGGUAUAGCCGCCGCCGGAAACGGCGAUGCGGCGAAGCUGCCAUGCGCCGGAUUAUAACUGAACGCCUCUAAGUUAGAAUCCAUGCCGGAAGGAAAGCCACCUACCGGCCCGGGGACGCCACGAGCAACGGUAGCACUGCCUGAGCCGCGAGCGACCACAAUUCACGGACCCGGGCCGACGAAUCCCUUGCAGACGACUUG